UUCCUUUGGUGAAAAUGGGGCAAUAGUAGGCACCUCUUGCAGCUGUUGUGAAGGUUACACGAGAAAGCACAUGAAAAGGCCUGGCACACAGUACAUGCAACAGAAGCUAAUCCCCUUCCUCCAACGUGAUCCUUAUUUAUUGUAAUAAUGGCCCCCAAUCUGUAGCUACACCUAUAUUGAUCCCAUAUCUACAUAAUCUAAUGUGCAUGUGUGUUAUAUUGUAUAUGUGUGCACAUGUGUAGAGAUACAAUCACAAUCAUACUCCAAAGAACACACACAUAUGCCACCCAUGGUGUGCCCUACAAUGUAGGGUCAAACCUAAGGAGGUAUAAAACACCCACAUACACUCACUUUAGUCCGUUGGUACUCCAUUAGGACCUGGCCUAUACAAAGUUGUGAAAACUGAUCCGAUCCCUCUGUUCUGCCAUGGUAACGGUACCCACGUUUGCCAUAGAUAUGUCCUGGCGCCAUCUAGUGGGGGAAUCCAACUUUCUGCCCCAUAGUGCCUCCUUAGGCUUGCUCCAGCCUUUGCUCCCACUCACCAUUUUGUAGGCUGCCUCCAUCAUCCUAAAAAGCGACGAAGCUGAAAAAACUCCUCUGUAUUUCUUUGCAGACACUUUCCAGUUUUCAUCCUGGGUGUUUCUGAACAAGAUUAUAUCUCAUUGAAAUAUUUGCACCUCUACCUACAGACAAGGAAAAGGCUUGGAGCACCUCCAUUCAUUGUGCCAACAGGACCUGAAUGACCUUGGAUGUUGACUGAUGAGAAAACCUGAAUGAAGAGGGAGAACAGAAAGGGCUGGAGGAGAUGGUGAAAUACAAAAUGAGAGUCUGGGGACUGAAAGAAUCCAAAGAAACCAACAAUUUUAAAAAUACGCUACAGAGAGAAAAGGCAAUUGAAACGACAAGGACUAACAGCAGACAGUAUUUAGAAAACAUCAUGGCUCUGAAGAGAAAGUGGAGAUUUUGUGGUGUUGUACAUUGAAAGCUUAUCUGAAACAGUCCCCCUCUCUCUUUUCCUCUCUCUUUGUCCCUCUGUGCCACCCCUAAUGUAUUCACUUUUUUCUCUACUCACUCCCUCACUUCCAAUAUUUAAGUCUUAAAAAACAUUGAAAUAAAAUGCAAUGGACAGCACCCGUAUCCAUCAGUUCCUGUUCUCUUCCCCUGAAACUGGGUAGCACAUUAUGUCGUUCCUGUCAGACCAUCCAGUUGGAAGUCCCCUCUCCUCUAUCUGAGACCGGAUAGCAUUUUGUGUCCCUCUGAUACAGCACAGAUGAAGUCACCCUGGAUUGUAAUCAUCAUGUGUAAGGUUUUUAUCCCUUGAGUAUAAACCCUUAAUAGAAGAGACUGGGUCUCAUUCAUCCCCCAGUAGCCACAGGACAGAGUGCAGUGUUUUUUAGUAUAAGGGGGUGGUCUUCUGCUAAAGGAGUGAGUGAGCUGUCAUUUGAAACCUUGAUUCUCUCCAGGGCUUGGCAACCCAUGGACACAUUGACAUUAAUCACCACAUUUUGGUCCUACCCAGCUCCCACCUACACAACCAGACAGUCUCACACAUUGACUCGAUUAGAAUAAAGAAUCAAGGAAAAGGGCACCUCUACAAUUUUAUUGAAUAGAAUCCCAGACAGAACCCUAAUAUCAAAAACAGAUGGGACAGUUUAAAACUUCUGGGCUUGGCAAAAACCACUUUGUUGUAAGCAGAGGCCUUGAAGCAACCCCAAGUGGCCCCAGAACUCUGUGCCUGCACCCAAGGGACACUGUUGGGCGUAAGAGCUAGGC
Molecule: long non-coding RNA, 1773 nt
Organism: Papio anubis (olive baboon)
Lineage: Eukaryota; Metazoa; Chordata; Mammalia; Primates; Cercopithecidae
Source: Ensembl